Molecule: ribosomal RNA, 432 nt
Filed under: uncultured bacterium
Lineage: Bacteria
Description: partial 16S ribosomal RNA
Rfam family: Bacterial small subunit ribosomal RNA
Source: RNAcentral
AACGAACGCUGGCGGCAGGCCUAACACAUGCAAGUCGAGCGAGGACUUCGGUCCUAGCGGCGGACGGGUGAGUAACGCGUGGGAACGUGCCCUUUGCUUCGGAAUAGCCCUGGGAAACUGGGAGUAAUACCGGAUGAGCCCUUUGGGGGAAAGAUUUAUCGGCGAAGGAUCGGCCCGCGUUGGAUUAGGUAGUUGGUGGGGUAAUGGCCUACCAAGCCGACGAUCCAUAGCUGGUUUGAGAGGAUGAUCAGCCACACUGGGACUGAGACACGGCCCAGACUCCUACGGGAGGCAGCAGUGGGGAAUCUUAGACAAUGGGGGAAACCCUGAGCUAGCCAUGCCGCGUGAGCGAUGAAGGCCUUAGGGUUGUAAAGCUCUUUCAGCUGGGAAGAUAAGGACGGUACCAGCAGAAGAAGCCCCGGCUAACUCCGU